Long non-coding RNA from Lates calcarifer (barramundi perch), 3181 nucleotides. RefSeq lists it as uncharacterized. The record is from RefSeq and is a predicted model, not a curated record. The transcript has 4 exons. Lineage: Eukaryota; Metazoa; Chordata; Actinopteri; Centropomidae.
CAAUGCUUCAAAAAACGGGAGAAGACUAGUAUUUUGUUAUUUCAUAUGCCACUAUCGUUGACAAAAAGUUCAAGAUUGCUCGUUUCCCUUCCUUUUUGAUUUUGAUUGCAGCCAAUCAGAUGCUGAGUUUAACGUCACCUGCGUAGCGCACGCGCAACUCCUUAGAUGUCAGACAAGAAGUCGACUCUCAGUUGGACCUGUACCUAGAUUUGGUGGUGGAAAUGAACCAAUGAAGUUGACGUCAUGCCGUAAUGCCGCUCCGUCUAGAUAUAACCACGCCCACUUCAGUAUGACGAACACCUCAACGGCUGCGUCUCCAUGGAAACCGCGCUAACGCGGAUCUGGCGAAAUAUGACUGGUGGACUCGAUGAGGCCAUGACUAUUGACACGAUACCCAGUCCAGUGCCAGAGAGCCCAGCAGUGACUCCAUUCAUUCCAGCUUUGAAGCAGCACCAUGUCAACAGGCCCAGAAGGACCCAACCUUCAUGUUGAGGAUCAUCACUUGUGACGAGAGUUGGGUCUGUGGUUACGACCCAGGGACCAGGCAGCAGUCUUCUCAGUGGAGGAGACCGAAGAUGGCGCGUCAUGUUCAUCUUUUUCUUAGUCAUUCAUGCAGUUGUGAGUUCAUCCACCAGGGUCAGACUGUUAACCCCAAGUUGGACAAGGAGGACAUUCAGUGCAAAUGACCUGAACUGUGGUGCAGUGGCAAGUGGGCGCUCCAUUUAGUAGCUCCUUCACGUAUUUCAUACCGGGGGAAAAUUAGGAUAUGUUUUUAAUUUUAGUUCCAGGAUAAUUUGAUAAAACUAUGGAACAGCGAGUAAAUAAAUAUGUUAAUUCAGUGAAGCUGAAUUCUGUUAAUUAGUUUUUACAUAAUUAGUGCAGUUGCAGCCCAGCUUUCAUUUUUAAUGCAGGAUUUGAGCAAGUAAAUGUGUAUCUAAUCAAGGCGAAAAUGACAAAUGUCCUAUAAUGUUCCUUUAAAAGCCUUUUCAAUCCAAAACCUCUAUGACUGAUGAGAGAGGAAAUGCAGAUAUCAGAGGAAAACUAAACUGCUCUAACUGUCCAACAUAUGAUUCGUAGUAGAAGUACAUUAUUGACCUGAUGAUGUAUCCGUCCAACCCUGCUCUCUCCUCACUCUGCAUUCGCCUGGUGCCAAGGCGCUCAGGAUUUAGAACCACUACUGGUGUCCAUCUGCACACCGGAUUUAAAAUGUGGCUUCGCUGUGACCCGUCUGUUGUCCGAGGCCUCUGGAGACACAGAGAGAGGAGAGAACACGGUGCCAGGAAACACUCGCUCACUCUGACAGCCUCCGUCCUCCACAGUAAUGCUGCUUCUCUUGUGUGUAAAAUCAUUAUCAAGAGGUAUCGAGUGUUUAGUCAGGGCACUCAUGAGGAGGCAUUGAUCACCUGAUUUUGUCUGUGCUGGAGCAUGCAGUUAAAGUAAAUGAUGAUGAGAGUAAUUUUUUCAAUACUGUACCUUUGGUUUUAGUUGGAUUUAAAAGUGUGAUUGUAAGAUGCCAGUCAGGCUGCUAAUAUUUGUCUUUUUGCGUGCUAAAUUUAAUUUCAGGUCAGAUGUUUUGGGAUGAAAAUGUGUGUUUACAGAGCGGCAGGUCAGUGUUAUCAGCACAGAGAGUAUGACCUGUGAAAAAUGAUGAUGUACAUGAGAGAAUCUGUGCUGUGGACGAUCCUGCCUGUUGGUUUAAGGCAGCUUACGGGUGUCUGUUCCAGCCAAAUCCAUUUUUAUUCACCCUGUGGAUUAUAGGACUAGCUGGCAAGGCUGCCCUCAUGGUACCAAAGCCAAAAAAGGGCCAUGCAGGUGGAUACCCUGUGUGUCGAGCAUGGAAGAUAGCAGAAUAUGUUUGGUACCUUUCAAGUGCAUGGUUUAAAUUCUUAGAUAUCUUCACUGUUUGUAGCUAAAGGGCUGAGCUUUGGAUGAAGAGUCAGUGUUUGAAUGGUGUCAGGCUGACACUCUGAGCGUCCUUUAGAGGGCGCUGACACACUGGUGAUGGGAGCAGCUGUCUGGAUGGGUGCUGAGGACACACUUCUCAGCCACCGCAUGUGUGUGAAGUCUCAGGGCUGGUGCUAACAAGUGAUGCUCGCCUGCAGAGAGCGUCCUCAGUCAGACAGCACACAGUGAAAAAAGAAAGACUACAGUCUGAGAUCUAAUGUCUAAGUUUAGAUUUAAAUAUUGAGUCAGACUGUACAUGAUCUCAGUGGGCUGUCCCCUCAUUAGUUCAUGUGUUUCUAUGUGUCAUUAGAAACAAGCCAGGCCUAAAGCUUUUGCUUCUGUUGCUUCAAAACAGUCAGAUCAGCAUGAAGUAACUCCCUCCUUCACAAUGAAAUAUAUCACUGUCGAUGGUGCUGAUACAAUGGUUACAUGUAACCAAGACAGCAAGUAUUAAACUGUAUACUGUAGUCAAUGCACAUAAUGCUCAUAUUUGGAAAGAGAACAAAGCCUAAAGAAAUUUGAUUACAAUUCAUCAACAACCAACAUGUUUGAGAAUUGGAAUUGAUACCCUGUUGUCAGGAGCAGCAGUGUUGGGUUUAGUGAGACUGAGAGCACUAAAAGCCUCGCUGUGCAACAGAGAAACCCAGGUUUUAGGGUGUAAGCUGAGAUGGCGCUGGUCAAUACUUGGAGACGACAGAGAUAAAUUCAGCCUCCCUCUUGGGAUCUACAACAGCCAAGUUUGGCCUUUUACCUCGCUGUUUUUCCCCGUCUCAGUCACAGGAACACUUCUGAAAAUAGCUCAGAGCAAACCCAGAUAGAAAAGGGGACAGCGUGUUUGUAAAUGCCAGGAGUUUGAGCCAUGGCGAUGGCUGAGAUGACGUUUGGUAUGCCGUCUGUGAGGAUAUUAUUUUGGGUCAGAUGUGCCUCUCUGCCAUAUUGUCCAGUCAAGCAGGAAGGCCAGGCCACAGAGAGAGAGCAUAUGCCUGCCUUUCCCUCUGCUGCCGCCCCUGACAUGUGUUACUUCCUCCGCGCUCAGCCCACCUGCUCGGCCAAAGUCUAUAAGGCUAUGAACACCAGUCUACAGUAACAGUACAUAGGAUGUGUCAGUCUGCAGAGAUAUGUCAUCACAGUUAACAACUGGCAGCAGGAUUGCCAUUAUGUUACUGUCACAGUUUACUACUGUUUUUGUAAAAACUGCAAAAGUGGUUAUUUUUCAGCUUUUAAAGUAAAAUACUUA